This 876-nucleotide ribosomal RNA is filed under the name Mammaliicoccus sciuri. RNAcentral's name for it is "Staphylococcus sciuri partial 23S ribosomal RNA". It matches the Rfam family "Bacterial large subunit ribosomal RNA", at positions 913 to 1788 of the family's 2925-position model. The record is from RNAcentral. Lineage: Bacteria; Bacillati; Bacillota; Bacilli; Caryophanales; Staphylococcaceae.
UUUGGACGAGGGGCCCCUCUCGGGUUACCGAAUUCAGACAAACUCCGAAUGCCAAAUAAUUUAACUUGGGAGUCAGACUAUGGGUGAUAAGGUCCGUAGUCGAAAGGGAAACAGCCCAGACCACCAGCUAAGGUCCCAAAAUAUAUGUUAAGUGGAAAAGGAUGUGGCGUUGCCCAGACAACUAGGAUGUUGGCUUAGAAGCAGCCAUCAUUUAAAGAGUGCGUAAUAGCUCACUAGUCGAGUGACACUGCGCCGAAAAUGUACCGGGGCUAAACAUAUUACCGAAGCUGUGGAUUAUCCGUAAGGAUAAUGGUAGGAGAGCGUUCUAAACGUGUCGAAGCAUGAUCGUAAGGACAUGUGGAAUGUUUAGAAGUGAGAAUGCCGGUGUGAGUAGCGAAAGAUGGGUGAGAAUCCCAUCCACCGAUUGACUAAGGUUUCCAGAGGAAGGCUCGUCCGCUCUGGGUUAGUCGGGACCUAAGCCGAGGCCGAUAGGCGUAGGCGAUGGAUAACAGGUAGAUAUUCCUGUACCACCUAUGAUUGUUUGAACGAUGGGGGGACGCAGUAGGAUAGGCGAAGCGUGCUGUUGGAGUGCACGUCCAAGCAAUAAGACUGAGUGUUAGGCAAAUCCGGCACUCGUAAGGUUGAGUUGUGAUGGGGAGUUGGAUCAUGUAUCCGACGAGUCGUUGAUUUCACACUGCCAAGAAAAGCCUCUAGUUAGAAAAUAGGUGCCCGUACCGCAAACCGACACAGGUAGUCAAGAUGAGAAUUCUAAGGUGAGCGAGCGAACUCUCGUUAAGGAACUCGGCAAAAUGACCCCGUAACUUCGGGAGAAGGGGUGCUUUUUAGGGUGCAAGCCUUGAAGAGCCGCAGUGAAUA